UACAGAGGUGGCAAGCGUUGUUCGGAAUUACUGGGCGUAAAGGGCGCGUAGGCGGCCUUCUAAGUCAGACGUGAAAUCCCCCGGCUUAACCUGGGAACUGCGUCUGAUACUGGGAGGCUUGAGUAUGGGAGAGGGAUGUAGAAUUCCAGGUGUAGCGGUGAAAUGCGUAGAUAUCUGGAGGAAUACCGGUGGCGAAGGCGGCGAUCUGGACGAUGACUGACGCUGAGACGCGAAAGCGUGGGGAGCAAAAGGG
RNAcentral lists this ribosomal RNA (253 nucleotides) under uncultured bacterium. RNAcentral's name for it is "partial 16S ribosomal RNA". It matches the Rfam family "Bacterial small subunit ribosomal RNA", at positions 524 to 776 of the family's 1533-position model. The record is from RNAcentral.